UGGCUGUUCGCCAUUUAAAGUGGUACGCGAGCUGGGUUUAGAACGUCGUGAGACAGUUCGGUCCCUAUCUGCCGUGGGCGCUGGAGAAUUGAGGGGGGCUGCUCCUAGUACGAGAGGACCGGAGUGGACGCAUCACUGGUGUUCGGGUUGUCAUGCCAAUGGCACUGCCCGGUAGCUAAAUGCGGAAGAGAUAAGUGCUGAAAGCAUCUAAGCACGAAACUUGCCCCGAGAUGAGUUCUCCCUGACUCCUUGAGAGUCCUGAAGGAACGUUGAAGACGACGACGUUGAUAGGCCGGGUGUGUAAGCGCAGCGAUGCGUUGAGCUAACCGGUACUAAUGAACCGUGAGGCUUAACCUUACAACGCCGAAG
This 369-nucleotide ribosomal RNA is filed under the name Escherichia coli. RNAcentral describes it as "partial 23S ribosomal RNA". It matches the Rfam family "Bacterial large subunit ribosomal RNA", at positions 2574 to 2925 of the family's 2925-position model. The record is from RNAcentral. Lineage: Bacteria; Pseudomonadati; Pseudomonadota; Gammaproteobacteria; Enterobacterales; Enterobacteriaceae.